UACAGAGGGUGCAAGCGUUAAUCGGAAUUAUUGGGCGUAAAGAGCGUGUAGGCGGCUUGUUAAGUCUUGCGUGAAAUCUCGGGGCUCAACCCCGAGCGGUCGUGAGAAACUGGCAGGCUAGAGUGCGGGAGAGGAGAGUGGAAUUCCUGGUGUAGCGGUGAAAUGCGCAGAUAUCAGGAAGAACACCCGUGGCGAAGGCGGCUCUCUGGAACGCAACUGACGCUGAGACGCGAAAGCGUGGGGAGCAAACAGG
RNAcentral lists this ribosomal RNA (253 nucleotides) under uncultured bacterium. RNAcentral's name for it is "partial 16S ribosomal RNA". It matches the Rfam family "Bacterial small subunit ribosomal RNA", at positions 524 to 776 of the family's 1533-position model. The record is from RNAcentral.